GGUUGAAUAUUUUUUCUGAGACCAUAUUUUCCAGCUGGAUAUGCUUCCUGACACCAACUCUUUUGGUCAUUGUAUACAACAUGCAGGGAAAUAGUAGGACUAUUCUAAAACCAGGAUACACAGGCUGUGUCAUAAGAAGCUUGCUUCUCAACCACAUGAUUCUGGGUUCAGUCCCACUACAUGACACCUUGGUUGUUGCUUAAAUCCCAACAAUGGACAACCACAUCAUCAUCAUAAAACAACCUUUAUGGAGAGAAAAAUAUUGAAAAACAUCAAUACCUGUCAGAGUGACAAAGAAAUAAAGAAGAUACAAGGUGGUCAUGAGAUGUGUUAGAAACACCAGCUAAAUUGCCCUUGAAUCACACACCUUUUUCUCUGAAAAUUAUUCUGAAAUUAUGAACAGAAACAAAAUGUAGAUCUGGACUGUCUGUAUUUUAAACUUAUGAUUAAAAAAAUUUUGCAAAAGGCUGAAA
Octopus bimaculoides (California two-spot octopus) is the source of this 473-nucleotide long non-coding RNA. RefSeq lists it as uncharacterized. The record is from RefSeq and is a predicted model, not a curated record. NCBI's taxonomy places the organism in Eukaryota, Metazoa, Mollusca, Cephalopoda, Octopoda, Octopodidae.